Molecule: microRNA precursor, 227 nt
Filed under: Picea abies (Norway spruce)
Lineage: Eukaryota; Viridiplantae; Streptophyta; Pinopsida; Pinales; Pinaceae
Description: miR11506 stem-loop (pab-MIR11506)
Source: miRBase by way of RNAcentral
AUGAGCGCAAGAGAUGGAUUAUUCCGUGUUUUGUGAUAUAUACAGCUUUUUCAGUUUUAUCUACUCCUACCCCUUUCACAAAUACUCUCAAAUUGCAGAGUUUAAAUGGGAUUCACAUAUGUCUGAUCUGCCAUUCCUAUGGGUUCUCUGCGGUGAAGAAAGGCGUGGAAUGAAUGGAGGCUAAAAAAUAUCACAAAACACCGGAAUAAUCUUUCUCUUAAGCCCAU